RNAcentral lists this long non-coding RNA (786 nucleotides) under Setaria italica (foxtail millet). RNAcentral describes it as "long non-coding RNA (SITA_LNC000352)". The record is from RNAcentral. Lineage: Eukaryota; Viridiplantae; Streptophyta; Magnoliopsida; Poales; Poaceae.
CCGCGCCGCUCGUUGGCUCCGGCCCCCACCGCCGUCCAGCCUCGCCCCUUUCUUUCCUCGGGCAAUAAAAGGAGGCCAAUUGUCGGAGCCUUGCCACCACCGUGCUAUCACCUUGCCAGACCUACAACGCCUUCUCCCCACGCCAAACCACCACCGCCCCAUCGCCUGAGAUGCCGCACAAGCUGCCCCCGCCCAAGGUAAGCGGCAAAAUGGGUUCCAUUCACCCUCCGCCACCUUCCCCCGCCGCCCAAUCUUGCCGUCGGCGAGCCAUGGCCGAUCGGCCGCCGCCGAAAUCCCCUCCCUCACUCUCUGUUCCUGACCCAAGGAAGAAGAAGAGAAAAACACCCCCCCUUUCGAUCUAACCCCCACCUUUCCCAUAUUCACAAACCAGUCCUCCCACCACUCUCAAGGAUUUCUCGCGAAUAUGCCCUUCCACCACCCAGAAAUCUUCAAAAAUAGGCCCCUGAUUCUUACGGUUGUGUCCAAAGCUUUGUUUUAACCUCUAAACACACAGUUAUCUUGUCAUUUCAUGCGCCAAAUUUCCUCCCAUUAAUCCCAAAUUCAACCACGUCAUCCUCCAAUAUACCUCCGCUGAGGCAUCUCCAAAUUUCAUAAAAAUACUCAUUCCUUCUAUUUUCCGUUCGCGUUCUCUGUUUGAAGCUCAACGGGUAAAACUUUAAUUUUCUUUUAUUUAUUGUGUGCCCGAUUGUGUGUGCCGUAGAUCGCGGAGUACCCGAGGAGGAGUUUGACCGCGAGCCCGAGCCCGAGGACCAGCACCACAAGAAA